UUUCCGCCUUUCAUAUAUUUCCUUCAACAAGUUUUGUAGAAUAGCGAAGGAAAUCAUUAACUUCAAGUCUGAUGGUGUUCAAAAUCGAAAUCAACAUUUAUAGCGAAAACAGCAACGACGGUAAAAAGAAGUGGAGGGGCAAAAUUGUAAAAUAUGGUGAUGCGUGGCUGUUAACGAUGGCUGGUGAUGAAUCAUGUGGUGACUAGUGGUGGUGAGCGGUAGUAGCGGUGGAGGUGAGAUAGGAACAUUGUUGCUGUCAAAUAUGCCUUUUUUCUCCUUUUUCUUUUUUUCCUUUUCCUUUUUAUUAUUUUUCCUCAUAUAUUAUUGGUCUAUAUGUUUUGGUUUAUUUAUUGGGUGAUUAUAUUGACACCAUAAUUUUUAUUUGUUAUUCCGCAUUACCACAUUUUAAUAGCAGUUAAACUCCUUAAUCUUUAUUNAUUGAAAUAAUUAUUUCCUUAACCUUUUUUGUCGAAUUCUUAUCUUUAACCUUUCACUGAUUAAUAAUUAGUACAUCUCGUCUUUCAUAAUGAUUUAUAUCAAGAUAUUUUUUUAUGCUUUAAAAUGAGGGGAAAAUAUUUUUUUUGCAU
Molecule: long non-coding RNA, 587 nt
Filed under: Olea europaea subsp. europaea
Lineage: Eukaryota; Viridiplantae; Streptophyta; Magnoliopsida; Lamiales; Oleaceae
Source: RNAcentral